RNAcentral lists this long non-coding RNA (692 nucleotides) under Rattus norvegicus (Norway rat). Its description in RNAcentral is "long non-coding RNA NONRATT024482". The record is from RNAcentral. Lineage: Eukaryota; Metazoa; Chordata; Mammalia; Rodentia; Muridae.
CAGAGCCCCAGGGGCGGCCCAGGAAACGUGCUGCCACCGCACGCCAUAUGGAGGCGCCAGGAAAAAGAGAAGGAAGGGGAAAAUCGAUCCCAUGCCGGAUCCAGGAGCAGGUCCCGGUCCCAGUCCUCUUCAGGCUGCAUAUAGUCAUUGGUCUGCUGGGAAUCAUAAUGGUCCAUGAUGGGUUCGGUGCACUGGCCCGCUGCCGACUGCUUGUGUGUUUGCCAGGCUACCCAGGCUCCCUGGCAGGUAUGCCUUGGUGUACUGACACAAUUGAAGCUACCUUCUGGAGACCAGUUUCCUCCUUCCCCAAUUUUACAGCUUCCCUACACUUUCCUGAAACUAGGAAGAGCCCUAAAAUGGUCUACCUGUAUCAUACACCUAACAGAGGGGAAACUAAGACUCGAAGAGUGGAGUGGACGAGAGACUGUGCCGGCAUGGAUUCUACAGGCCCGUUUUGUGUGUAACUUUGUGCCUGACAAAAACCUUAUUAUCCUUGGAGGAGGAAGAAACAGUGCAAGACUAGCUAAAUUGCUUGGUGACUGGGGGUACUCCCUGGGAUCAGUAAAGGGAGGUGGGGACGUGUUGGUCCAGCAGUGUUGCAUCCAGGGAAGAGACCACCCGGAUUCCUGAUGGUCUUGUGAGGGAUGCUGAGUAUGAGAACCAGUAACAAGAAAAACUACAGUUGUUUGUGC